UAAAUAAAAAAAUUAAAACUAUAGACUAAAUGUUUUGCUGUGAAAGUGUGUUAUUUAUAUCUUCAACAUGAGAGAAUGCAUCAUUGGUGGUGUGAGAUAAAACCAUUGUGUCUUUCUAACCCACAUCUAACAAAUAUUUUAUCGAAUUGGGCCUUAAAAUAAUAAUAAGUGAAGACUCAAUAACACUAAAAAUGCAGCGAAUAUUCUAGCUCUACAAUGUUCUUCGGUAUAAUUAGAGUUAAAAAUUUGUGGAGACUAUAUAUAACUCAUUUUGCCUCCCAUGGGUCAUAAGCAAGCAAAAAAAAUGGAGCAAACUUUCAUCAUGUAGAAAACUUGUCUUUCUUUCUUUAAUACAUAUUUGAAGGUCUAAAAGAGUUAGGCAAGAUGUGUUAGCGACAGUGUUUUCGAAUGUGAUGAGAAAUAAUCUUUAAGAACAAGUGGUUAUGUACAAAUUUAUGCGAAUAGAUGAUAAAGUAGAUACAACAAAAUGAUUGAGUAGCAAGAGAUGGAGAAAGAGAACUUUGCUCUAUUAAAAAAUGUGUUUGAGAUCAUUUUAUCAAUUUUUGAAGUAAUUGGCUACAUCGAAUAAUUUAUGUACUUAUAUAUAGUUUCUAUAUCAAUUCAUAUACUUGAUAUAUAUAUUAUAAAA
RNAcentral lists this small RNA (649 nucleotides) under Arabidopsis thaliana (thale cress). RNAcentral's name for it is "ATSL211810". Lineage: Eukaryota; Viridiplantae; Streptophyta; Magnoliopsida; Brassicales; Brassicaceae. The record is from RNAcentral.